UACGUAGGUGGCAAGCGUUGUCCGGAAUUAUUGGGCGUAAAGCGCGCGCAGGCGGCCUUUUAAGUCUGAUGUGAAAGCCCCCGGCUCAACCGGGGAGGGUCAUUGGAAACUGGAAGGCUUGAGUGCAGAAGAGAAGAGCGGAAUUCCACGUGUAGCGGUGAAAUGCGUAGAGAUGUGGAGGAACACCAGUGGCGAAGGCAGCACUCUGGGACGUGACUGACGCUGAGACGCGAAAGCGUGGGGAGCAAACAGG
Molecule: ribosomal RNA, 253 nt
Filed under: uncultured bacterium
Lineage: Bacteria
Description: partial 16S ribosomal RNA
Rfam family: Bacterial small subunit ribosomal RNA
Source: RNAcentral